Molecule: ribosomal RNA, 372 nt
Filed under: uncultured organism
Description: partial 16S ribosomal RNA
Rfam family: Bacterial small subunit ribosomal RNA
Source: RNAcentral
GUAGGUGGCAAGCGUUGUCCGGAAUUAUUGGGCGUAAAGCGCGCGCAGGCGGUUCUUUAAGUCUGAUGUGAAAGCCCACGGCUCAACCGUGGAGGGUCAUUGGAAACUGGAGAACUUGAGUACAGAAGAGGAAAGCGGAAUUCCACGUGUAGCGGCGAAAUGCGUAGAGAUGUGGAGGAACACCAGUGGCGAAGGCGGCUUUCUGGUCUGUAACUGACGCUGAGGCGCGAAAGCGUGGGGAGCAAACAGGGAUUAGAUACCCUGGUAGUCCACGCCGUAAACGAUGAGUGCUAAGUGUUAGGGGGUUUCCGCCCCCUUAGUGCUGCAGCUAACGCAUUAAGCACUCCGCCUGGGGAUACGGCCGCAAGGCUG